CUCAACACACCUGGCUCCUUGAAUUAUCUCCCUUAUAUUUCAGGUAUAUAAUUUUUCUUAAAAGUUAUAUGCAUCUUAGUACUUUCCUUUAGUAUGCUUUAUAUUUUUCUAAUUUAAUCUUUAUGUACCCUCCAAGGUUAUGGCACCUAAUAAGAGACAGAAGCAACUUGUUGAUAAUGGACCUGAUGAAGCCUCCAAGAUUAUGGCACCUAAUAAGAGACAGAAGCAACUUGUUGAUAAUGGACCUGAUGAAGCCUCCAAGAUUAUGGCACCUAAUAAGAGACAGAAGCAACUUGUUGAUAAUGGACCUGAUGAAGCCUCCAAGAUUAUGGCACCUAAUAAGAGACAGAAGCAACUUGUUGAUAAUGGACCUGAUGAAGCCUCCAAGAUUAUGGCACCUAAUAAGAGACAGAAGCAACUUGUUGAUAAUGGACCUGAUGAAGCCUCCAAGGUUAUGGCACCUAAUAAGAGACGGAAGCAAUUUGUUGAUAAUGGACCUGAUGAAGCCUCCAAGGUUAUGGCACCUAAUAAGAGACAGAAGCAACUUGUUGAUAAUGGAACAGAUGAAGCCUACUUAAUCGGGAUGCAAAAGUUUUUGGAUUAUGCUUUUGGAAGAACAGAAGAACUAUAUGAAAUACGAUGUCCAUGUGUCAAAUGUUGCUACACAACUUUAGGAACACGCGAAACAAUCGAGUCACAUUUGAAGGUUUAUGGAAUAAUUCAAAAGUAUUCUUUAGGGGUGUCUGGAAAUGAUUCACCAGGUGCUAUAGGUGUGGGACGAGGCAAAGAACAGGAGGUUAGAUCUAUGCGCUCUAUGGGGGCAUCUGGAAAUGAUGUAGGAUCCUUCCAUCAAAAUUCUCUUUACGCUGGUCAAAGUAUGGCAACACCUUCUAAUAGUACUAGUUCAGAUGCUACCAUAUCUGAUUAUUCUGGUGAAAGUAUGCCAUCUCAUUCUACUGGUACAAGUUCAGAUCCUACCACAUCUGCUGGUCAAGGAAUGCAGAGAACAAAUAAACACCCCUUGGUUCAUGACAAGGAACAAAUGCAAAUUGAUAUUACAUCGCCUCCGUCUACCGAUCAAAUUAUGCAAAACACCCUAAAUGUUGAAACAAG
Molecule: long non-coding RNA, 1113 nt
Filed under: Solanum tuberosum (potato)
Lineage: Eukaryota; Viridiplantae; Streptophyta; Magnoliopsida; Solanales; Solanaceae
Description: long non-coding RNA (STUB_LNC004273)
Source: RNAcentral